GAUGAACGCUGGCGGCGCGCCUAACACAUGCAAGUCGAACGAUUAAAGCACCUUGGGGUGUGUAUAAAGUGGCGAACGGAUGAGUAACACGUGGGCAACCUGCCCCUUUCAUUGGGAUAGCCACGGGAAACCGUGGAUAAUACCGAAUACUUCGAGACUUCCGCAUGGAAGACUCGAGAAAGAUCCGGCGGAGAUGGAUGGGCCCGCGGCCUGUUAGCUUGUUGGUGGGGUAACGGCCUACCAAGGCAAUGAUGGGUAGCUGGGUUGAGAGACCGACCAGCCAGAUUGGGAUUGAGACACGGCCCAGACUCCUACGGGAGGCAGCAGUGGGGAAUCUUGCACAAUGGGCGAAAGCCUGAUGCAGCGACGCCGCGUGCGGGAUGAAGGCCUUCGGGUUGUAAACCGCUUUCAGCAGGGACGAGGCGAA
RNAcentral lists this ribosomal RNA (427 nucleotides) under Lancefieldella parvula. Its description in RNAcentral is "bacterial SSU rRNA". It matches the Rfam family "Bacterial small subunit ribosomal RNA", at positions 28 to 454 of the family's 1533-position model. Lineage: Bacteria; Bacillati; Actinomycetota; Coriobacteriia; Coriobacteriales; Atopobiaceae. The record is from RNAcentral.